Molecule: ribosomal RNA, 273 nt
Filed under: uncultured bacterium
Lineage: Bacteria
Description: partial 16S ribosomal RNA
Rfam family: Bacterial small subunit ribosomal RNA
Source: RNAcentral
ACUCCUACGGGAGGCAGCAGUGGGGAAUAUUGCACAAUGGGCGCAAGCCUGAUGCAGCCAUGCCGCGUGUGUGAAGAAGGCCUUCGGUUGUAAAUGCACUUUCAGUCGUGAGGAAGGUAGUGUAGUUAAUAGCUGCAUUAUUUGACGUUAGCGACAGAAGAAGCACCGGCUAACUCCGUGCCAGCAGCCGCGGUAAUACGGAGGGUGCGAGCGUUAAUCGGAAUUACUGGGCGUAAAGCGCAUGCAGGUGGUUUGUUAAGUCAGAUGUGAAAG